CAGAUCUAUAGUUAUAGGGUAACAUCCAUACAUCAAUCUAUCCAUCUUCUACCGCUUACUCCUUCUUCAGGGUCACGGGGGAAUCUGGAGCUAUAGGGUAACAACCAGUGGUAAAGGUAAUCAAAGCCAUACACUCUUUUACAUAGAAUACAUACAGUAUAUUGACCUCUGAAGAUGACUUUAUAUGUUGGCCUACUCUUACUAUAGCGUUAAGUUACAUGACUCACAAGCCAUGAAGUAUUUGGGUAGGAUGGGUUCCCGUCAAGGUUUCUUCCUGUAAAGCUGCUUUGUGACAAUGUCUGUUGUUAAAAGCGCUAUACAAAUCAAAUUGAAUUGAACUGAAAAAUCUAUCACAACUCAUAACAAAACUUUGAAAACUAUAUAUCGUAGAGAACACAAUAUAAUGCAACGUAUAUAAUAUAAAUAUUAAAAUAUGACCACAUAAAGCGCUACAUUUACAGAUUAACUUUAAAAGAAGCUACACUACACGCAUGUGACCGGCAGAUGUCGCCCCUGUGUUGUGUUUUAGCGUUUUGAACCAAUGACUCAAUAAAGAUAUAAAGCUUAAAAUCACACAACAAAACUGCCAGGCUGUUUGGAGACAGGAAGCGUAAUUUGAUUGGUCAAUUUCAAAUGACGCUUAUUUAAGAAUUUUGAUUGGUUCAUUACAUCCGACGUCGGAUUGCUGCAGACCAGACUUCAGAAACAGAGACCCGGAAUUCAGGAGUCAUCAAGAAUGGCUUUAAAGGAUAUCCUGAAUCACCUAGCAGCCAACCAUUUCGCCAACUUUCCUCCAGAUCUGCACUGAUGUGACUGCAAUAAAGGCUUUUGUGGCAUCAUGUGUUGCCUCAGGCUACCGUGCCAACAAAUCCCUUAUAAUCAUAUUAUCUCCUACGGCCUGUACAUUGAGAGCAUGGGACCCUUUUUGGCACACAUACGCCGCCUCAUCCUCUCCACUAGGGGCCUACAUUGGAAACGGUCAGCCAUCCACUAGUCCAAUUACCCCGGCAUCCUACUUGCUCGGGAAAAACUCGGUUUUGAUGGCUGAAAGCUCCUCUCCCCUUGGAAACCGAACGUAGAACAAGAUUUUUACUGCUUGAUGUUAUUUGGCCAGCAAAGCAGACAGUAGCGGUAUAAGCAGGACGUAAGCGGGAAAAAGGUUGACACAUCCAAGUGACUGAGCCUGACACACACACACACACACACACACACAAACUAAUGCUGCUACAAGCUUACCAUGAGAAUCUCCAACCCCUUAGGAUGAGCGGGAAGGAUGCAAGGAUGAGAUGUGAGGAGAGAGGAAUUGAAGCAAGCCAAGUGGAAAAUCCUCGCUCUCUCAAACGUCACUUCAGAGCCACGGUAAUCAAUGAUGGCUGUGCUCCGCUGGAGGACCUCACUGCACUCCAGGGUCUGCCGUUAUAUUGUUAGAGCUCGGUUAAUAACAACAUUCUUAAUAAAGCAAGAUGCACUGAUGGAAAUGAAUUAAUGAACAAUAGAUAGUUUAUCGCAUCUUUUGUGCAGCUUUGCAUAUCCAAACAUGCAAUUACUUACAAUACUCAUUUUGAGCAUAUUAUUAUUUAAUUAUAUUUCACACACAAUUCCAUCACAUCAUCAAAGGACUUCUUGUUUGAGAUUGUGUCAGAUGUGAAAGAGGAGGGGAAUUUAUACAUGCAUCAGGUUUAUCACAUAGGACACACCUGUGUAUCUUCGCUCCUAGCUCCUCUGGAAGCUUCCCCACUCCUCGUUCCUCGUCUCUUUGAGGUGCAAUUAGAGAAUUGUUGUGUCCUUCAAGAUGGCUGAUUUCGAUUGAUUUCUGGGUCACGGGCUGGAGGACGGAGGAGCGAGGAAACGAGGAAGCAUCAGUUUGAGUGUGGAGAAACAACCUAUAAUUUGCGGGCAUCAGGGAGCCACUAUCGAUAUGCAGGAGAGUCCCGGAACUUCCAGGAGAGAUGGGAUGUCUGUUAAUAUCUAUGCUAUUUAACUAUGCUUUUAAUAUAAAACACAAUGUACAGUUGUGCCCAAAAGUUUGCAUACCCCUUGCAGAAUCUGCUAAAUCUUAAUACUGUUAGCAAAAUAAGACGGAUCAUAAAAAUCCCAUGUUGUUGUUUAUUUAGUGCUGUCCUGAAUAAGCUAUUUCACAUAACAGAUAUUUACAUAUAGUCCACAAGACAAGAUAAUAGCUGAAUAAAUCAAAAUUACCCCGUUCAAAAGUUUACACACCCUUGAUUCUUAAUACUGUCUGUGUUACCUGGAUGAUCCACGAUUGUGUUUAUGUUUUGUGAUAGUUGUUCAUGAGUCCCUUGUUGGUCUUGAGCAGUUAAACUGCCCACUGUUCUUCAGAAAAAUCCUCCAGGUCCUGCACAUUCUUUACUUUUCCAGCAUAUUCUGUAUAUUUGACCCCUUUCCAACAGCGACUAUAUGAUGUUGAGAUCCAUCUUUUCACACCGAGGACGACUGAGGGACUCGCACAUGACUAUUACAAAAAGGUGCAAACAUUUACUGACGCUCAAGAAGGCAACACGAUACAUUAAGAGCCAGGGGGGUGUAAACUUUUGAACAGGAUGAUCGGUGUAAAUUGUUAUUAUUUUGUUUAAAGAUCUUUUUUUUUUUCAUUUAGUACCGCCCUUCAGAUGCUAAAUAAGAUAGUUACAUGUCCCCCAGAAGACAAAAUACUAACCAUUUACACCGAUCAUCCUGUUCAAAAGUUUACACCCCCCUGAGUCUUAAUGUAUCGUGUUACCUUCUUGAGCAUCAGUGAAUGUUUACUCUGGAUCCACCUAGAACCUGACCAGGAUAAAUUGGUUACUGAAUAGAGGAAUGAACUGCAUGAUACUGCAUGUAGACUGAAACUCACACAUUUAAAAAGUAGUUGCUCAGUUAAUCAGUCAGUUACAAGAUGCUGAAUAUCAUUAACGUUAACUUGGAAAAUGUUUACAUUAAUAUUUUACAGCUUCAACUCAGCUGACAUAUUGCUGAUGGGACUUACCUAUGACAGAAAGAUUAACUCCAUCUCUACCCUGAUACUUUCCUCCACUUCUUCUUGUUAUAAAUCUGAAGUAGUAUUUGCCUCGGUCCUGUUCUGUCACAUCACUCAGUCUGAGACUGCAGUUACUCCGUUUGUCUCCGAGGUAUUGAACCCUGCCUGUGUACUUUGGGUCUGAAGACAGAUCAGGAGGCUCUUUAUCUGUAACCAGCUCUCUGCUCCAGAAAACUGUCUGAACUCUGUAAUCAUCUGGAUAUGUGUAAUUGCAGCCCAUGGUUAAUGUAGAUCCCCUUAGAGCACAGAUGUUGCUCUGUGUGUAAGACACACCCCACCCUGGCUGGGAGAGAACUCCUGUAACAAGAAAUACAGAAAUGUGUUGAUAAUGCAUGUACAGGUCUCAGACAGUGAGAAAGCCUGCGUAAACUCUCCACUGCAAACAUCUGAGCUCAUUUAUAACUCAAAGCUACACAGGUCAUGCAGUACAGCAGGAGAGAGAGAGAGAGUGUAUGUGUUUGUGUGUGUGUGUGUGAGAGAGAGAGAGAGAGUGUCUAAGAGAGAGAGACAGAGAGAGAGAGAGAAAUGCAGAAAAGAGGAACUUAACAGAACUGCUGAACAAACACUAAUAGCAUAACACACAAGGAUAAAAUAAAAGCAUACACAGUUAUAUAUAUUUAUGAGAAAUAAAAUGGUGUACAUUUGCAAAUGACUCACCUGAAACCAUGAGCAGAAACAGCAGAGAAAGGGGAGGAGUCAGUCUGAGUGAUGUCAUCAGUGCUCCCUGUAUAAUCAUCACAUGGAAAAAUACUGUUCAGUUUUAAAAACGCCCUUAAAUCUGCGGUGUGUUCAUAAUUGUAAAGCAAAGUGCUGUGGGUUUACACCUGCAGAUACAUUAAUAUGCGAUAUUAAAUGUAUACACACGUGAAAUUUGCUUUUUUUCUUCUUCUUUUUUUUUUUUGAAAGAAUCAUUUGGGUGAAUUGGAUGAAUCAAUUCCCAAAUGAGAACAAAUCAAAUUGUUUUUACACAAUAAUUAAAAAAUCUGCAUUGAAAAUGUUUUGUUAUUCCAUUUUAACUACAUUUAUCCAAGUCUUCAAAUGAUAAUAUUUACAUCCUUUACUGUGCACAGUGUUUAGAUGUGUGUAGUCUCUGUGAGUACUGAAUCAACUGAAUCAAAUCUCACAAAACAGUCCUUGAAUCAAAUCAGUAAAAUGAGACAUAUUGCUCUGAGACAUGUUUUGUAAUAGAAAUGAAUAAAAAAAGUCAACUUAGACUUGACUUAUAAAGAGUACCCGCUUUAAUUUCAGUUAUUAUGCGAAUAAUUGAGAAAUUUAAUUGUAAAAUUCAAACUGA
Molecule: long non-coding RNA, 4331 nt
Organism: Ictalurus furcatus (blue catfish)
Lineage: Eukaryota; Metazoa; Chordata; Actinopteri; Siluriformes; Ictaluridae
Exons: 6
Source: RefSeq, a predicted model, not a curated record